GUUAAAUGAAGAAGUUUCUAGACAACAUUUUUUUUAAAGUUUGUCAAGGUCCUUUAUUAUACAUUUUAGGAAAUUGAGGCCCUCAGAAAUCAAGUUACUUGCUCAAGAGUCUAUCAUAACUAGAGAAUGAAGAACUAAAAGGAGCAAUGGGUUAUCAUGUGCUUUUUAAGUGUCUCCAAUGUGGUUUAUUCAAUCUGAAUGCUAGUAAAACAAUGACAUUGAUUGUACAGAAAACCAGUGGGUGGACGGCAGGAAUGGUUCUCAUCACCACUAAUCCAGAGGAGAUCUGA
RNAcentral lists this long non-coding RNA (290 nucleotides) under Vulpes vulpes (red fox). RNAcentral's name for it is "lncRNA (ENSVVUG00000011136.1)". The record is from RNAcentral. Lineage: Eukaryota; Metazoa; Chordata; Mammalia; Carnivora; Canidae.